This 497-nucleotide ribosomal RNA is filed under the name uncultured bacterium. RNAcentral's name for it is "partial 16S ribosomal RNA". It matches the Rfam family "Bacterial small subunit ribosomal RNA", at positions 28 to 507 of the family's 1533-position model. The record is from RNAcentral.
GAUGAACGCUGGCGGCGUGCCUAAUACAUGCAAGUCGAGCGAACAGACGAGGAGCUUGCUCCUCUGACGUUAGCGGCGGACGGGUGAGUAACACGUGGAUAACCUACCUAUAAGACUGGGAUAACUUCGGGAAACCGGAGCUAAUACCGGAUAAUAUAUUGAACCGCAUGGUUCAAUAGUGAAAGACGGUUUUGCUGUCACUUAUAGAUGGAUCCGCGCCGCAUUAGCUAGUUGGUAAGGUAACGGCUUACCAAGGCGACGAUGCGUAGCCGACCUGAGAGGGUGAGCGGCCACACUGGAACUGAGACACGGUCCAGACUACUACGGGAGGCAGCAGUAGGGAAUCUUCCGCAAUGGGCGAAAGCCUGACGGAGCAACGCCGCGUGAGUGAUGAAGGUCUUCGGAUCGUAAAACUCUGUUAUUAGGGAAGAACAAAUGUGUAAGUAACUAUGCACGUCUUGACGGUACCUAAUCAGAAAGCCACGGCUAACUACGUG